Long non-coding RNA from Girardinichthys multiradiatus, 389 nucleotides. RefSeq lists it as uncharacterized. The record is from RefSeq and is a predicted model, not a curated record. The transcript is spliced from 2 exons. NCBI's taxonomy places the organism in Eukaryota, Metazoa, Chordata, Actinopteri, Cyprinodontiformes, Goodeidae.
UGGAUUUAUGUCACUGGACAACUGACUUCGUGUCCAGGAGAUUUCUGGAUGACCAAGAUUAUCUACGUUCUGAGGACUUCGUCUCCUAACUAUUGUUCCCAUCUGGGUUACCGACCAAGCUGGCAGUUUCCUGCUUCCUCCAUCUCCAGGACCUAAGCCUAAGCGUACCCUGUCCACCCUCCAACGCAAGUAUAUGCACAAACGAACUCACUCAAUCAUCUCCAAGCUCACCCAAGACGCACCUAAGAAACCAACAGAACAAACUCUGCUACAACAACUUGGAUCCCGAAUCCCUCUACCCCUGGCGACCUGACCGCACCCACUUAUUUGGAGUUACGCCCGUUUUCGUUCCUGAUUAUUUUGUGGCACAAUAAAUAUCAUUUCACUCA